RNAcentral lists this ribosomal RNA (481 nucleotides) under uncultured bacterium. Its description in RNAcentral is "partial 16S ribosomal RNA". It matches the Rfam family "Bacterial small subunit ribosomal RNA", at positions 28 to 507 of the family's 1533-position model. The record is from RNAcentral.
GAUGAACGCUGGCGGCGUGCUUAACACAUGCAAGUCGAACGAAGCACUUUAUUUGAUUUCCUUCGGGACUGAUUAUUUUGUGACUGAGUGGCGGACGGGUGAGUAACGCGUGGGUAACCUGCCUUGUACAGGGGGAUAACAGCUGGAAACGGCUGCUAAUCCCGCAUAAGCGCACAGCAUCGCAUGAUGCAGUGUGAAAAACUCCGGUGGUAUAAGAUGGACCCGCGUUGGAUUAGCUAGUUGGUGAGGUAACGGCCCACCAAGGCGACGAUCCAUAGCCGACCUGAGAGGGUGACCGGCCACAUUGGGGCUGAGACACGGCCCAAACUCCUACGGGAGGCAGCAGUGGGGAAUAUUGCACAAUGGGCGAAAGCCUGAUGCAGCGACGCCGCGUGAGCGAAGAAGUAUUUCGGUAUGUAAAGCUCUAUCAGCAGGGAAGAUAAUGACGGUACCUGACGAAGAAGCACCGGCUAAAUACGUG